This 585-nucleotide ribosomal RNA is filed under the name uncultured bacterium. Its description in RNAcentral is "bacterial SSU rRNA". It matches the Rfam family "Bacterial small subunit ribosomal RNA", at positions 338 to 916 of the family's 1533-position model. The record is from RNAcentral.
CCUACGGGAGGCAGCAGUGGGGAAUUUUGGACAAUGGGCGAAAGCCUGAUCCAGCAAUGCCGCGUGAGUGAAGAAGGCCUUCGGGUUGUAAAGCUCUUUUGUCAGGGAAGAAACGGUGAGAGCUAAUAUCUCUUGCUAAUGACGGUACCUGAAGAAUAAGCACCGGCUAACUACGUGCCAGCAGCCGCGGUAAUACGUAGGGUGCAAGCGUUAAUCGGAAUUACUGGGCGUAAAGCGUGCGCAGGCGGUUUUGUAAGUCUGAUGUGAAAUCCCCGGGCUCAACCUGGGAAUUGCAUUGGAGACUGCAAGGCUAGAAUCUGGCAGAGGGGGGUAGAAUUCCACGUGUAGCAGUGAAAUGCGUAGAUAUGUGGAGGAACACCGAUGGCGAAGGCAGCCCCCUGGGUCAAGAUUGACGCUCAUGCACGAAAGCGUGGGGAGCAAACAGGAUUAGAUACCCUGGUAGUCCACGCCCUAAACGAUGUCUACUAGUUGUCGGGUCUUAAUUGACUUGGUAACGCAGCUAACGCGUGAAGUAGACCGCCUGGGGAGUACGGUCGCAAGNUUAAAACGUCAAAGGAUUGACGG